This 501-nucleotide ribosomal RNA is filed under the name uncultured bacterium. RNAcentral's name for it is "partial 16S ribosomal RNA". It matches the Rfam family "Bacterial small subunit ribosomal RNA", at positions 30 to 523 of the family's 1533-position model. The record is from RNAcentral.
AUUGAACGCUGGCGGCAGGCUUAACACAUGCAAGUCGAGCGGAGCGAGGGUGCUUGCACCUUAGCUUAGCGGCGGACGGGUGAGUAAUGCUUAGGAAUCUGCCUAUUAGUGGGGGACAACAUUCCGAAAGGAAUGCUAAUACCGCAUACGCCCUACGGGGGAAAGCAGGGGAUCUUCGGACCUUGCGCUAAUAGAUGAGCCUAAGUCGGAUUAGCUAGUUGGUGGGGUAAAGGCCUACCAAGGCGACGAUCUGUAGCGGGUCUGAGAGGAUGGUCCGCCACACUGGGACUGAGACACGGCCCAGAAGCCUACGGGAGGCAGCAGUGGGGAAUAUUGGACAAUGGGCGGAAGCCUGAUCCAGCCAUGCCGCGUGUGUGAAGAAGGCCUUUUGGUUGUAAAGCACUUUAAGCGAGGAGGAGGCUCUUAAGGUUAAUACCCUUGAUGAGUGGACGUUACUCGCAGAAUAAGCACCGGCUAACUCUGUGCCAGCCGCCGCAGUAA